RNAcentral lists this ribosomal RNA (699 nucleotides) under uncultured fungus. Its description in RNAcentral is "eukaryotic LSU rRNA". The stretch from base 112 to 265 matches the Rfam family "5.8S ribosomal RNA". Lineage: Eukaryota; Fungi. The record is from RNAcentral.
CACUCUUAACCCAAUAUCCACCCUGGUGCACACUUGUAGGCAUUCUUUUGCCUAUGUUCCUUUACAAACAACUAUUGAUGUAUUUGAAUGCUAUUUGAUAAAUUGUAAUACAACUUUCAACAAUGGAUCUCUUGGUUCUCACAUCGAUGAAGAACGCAGCGAAUUGUGAUAUGUAAUGUGAAUUGCAGAAUUCAGUGAAUCAUCGAAUCUUUGAACGCACAUUGCACCCUCUGGUAUUCCGGAGGGUAUGCCUGUUUGAGUGUCAUUAAUAUCUCAGCCCAGACAGGUUUGACAGCCUGUUCUGUUGCUUGGAUGUUGGAGGCUUGCUGGCUUUUUCAAGUCAGCUCCUUUUAAAUUCAUUAGCAGAAAUGAUAGGCAAAACUGGCUUCAGUUUGAUAAAAUACUUUAUCUGUACUGCUGUUGCUAGUGAAAAUACCUAACAUAUUUCAGCUUCCAAUUGUCCCCAUGUGGGACUGUCUUCUUGAAGGCAUACCAAUUUGACACUUGACCUCAAAUCAGGUAGGACUACCCGCUGAACUUAAGCAUAUCAAUAAGCGGAGGAAAAGAAACUAACAAGGAUUCCCCCAGUAACUGCGAGUGAAGAGGGAAGAGCUCAAAUUUAGAAUCUGGCAGUCAUAGGCUGUCUGAGUUGUAAAUUAGAGAAGUGUUAUCCGCGCUGGCUGUGCAUAAGUCUCUUGG